RNAcentral lists this ribosomal RNA (253 nucleotides) under uncultured bacterium. RNAcentral describes it as "partial 16S ribosomal RNA". It matches the Rfam family "Bacterial small subunit ribosomal RNA", at positions 524 to 776 of the family's 1533-position model. The record is from RNAcentral.
UACGUAGGGUGCAAGCGUUGUCCGGAAUUAUUGGGCGUAAAGAGCUCGUAGGCGGUUUGUCGCGUCGAAUGUGAAAACCCGGGGCUCAACUCCGGGCCUGCAUUCGAUACGGGCAGACUAGAGUUCGGUAGGGGAGUCUGGAAUUCCUGGUGUAGCGGUGAAAUGCGCAGAUAUCAGGAGGAACACCGGUGGCGAAGGCGGGUCUCUGGGCAACAACUGACGCUGAGGAGCGAAAGCGUGGGGAGCGAACAGG